CAGGAUGCUAAUUAAUGGAAUGGAAGGAGCUUACAUCAAAUCUGGAGGGAUUGAACUUCUGAGGAUCUGGGAAAACUUCCGGAUCAUGGUGAAUAGAAACAACAUCCAAGUUCAUACCAUCAAUCUUGAAGUCCUGAGCAGCUUUUCUUGAAAACCAAGGCAGAAUUGUGGCUCUCCGGAGUGUUUCAUUAAUCACCUGAAAGUCGCAACAGAUUAAAGAAACCAGGACAGGCUGGCUUAAUGGAAAAAGUAAUAAUCAAUAUGCUACUGCUCCUUACUUUGUUUGUGUAAGGCAUGUGACUGACUUCAGUCCAGGUGGAUUUUCUUCAAGGAAUUUGAUGAGCCAUGUGAGUGCAGCAGUUGUGGUAUCAUGGCCUGCAACUAGCAGAGUCAAUAUAUUGUCCUUCAAUUGAUUAUC
This is a long non-coding RNA of Vitis vinifera (wine grape), 418 nucleotides long. RefSeq lists it as uncharacterized. The transcript is spliced from 3 exons. NCBI's taxonomy places the organism in Eukaryota, Viridiplantae, Streptophyta, Magnoliopsida, Vitales, Vitaceae. The record is from RefSeq and is a predicted model, not a curated record.